RNAcentral lists this microRNA precursor (59 nucleotides) under Monodelphis domestica (gray short-tailed opossum). Its description in RNAcentral is "Mdo-Mir-205-P4_pre stem-loop". It matches the Rfam family "mir-205 microRNA precursor family", at positions 9 to 68 of the family's 75-position model. Lineage: Eukaryota; Metazoa; Chordata; Mammalia; Didelphimorphia; Didelphidae. The record is from RNAcentral.
UCCUUCAUUCCACCGGAGUCUGUCUCAUAUCUAAUCAGAUUUCAGUGGAGUGAAGCAUA